UCUUUUGUUUGUUGUUGUUGUGAGGGAGAGAGCAUUUCUGUCGUCUAUACACAAAACUUUCCAUUUCACUUACAAGAUGGUGAAAAGAACGAACCUUGCUUAUUAUACACGGUUUUUAACGCUAUAACACUUCUUUACUUGGAUUUUACUCUCAAAAACUAUGACUGUGUUGGUGAUAGAACCCUGGCAGGAAGAGGUGACGUUGCCUUGGAUAUUCAGAGUGAGGGAGACUGGCAGAAGACACAAGGUUCGGAGGCCUCCAGAGAGCUGCCCAGAGUGAAGCUUGUGGUAUAGAGGAACAGCUGCUGAUCAUCAAGCUUACGGAAUGACUGGAGGAAAGUGGGAGGAGCCUGGAGGGAGUGGUGGAGAUACCAGGAUAUGUAACCACCACCACCACCACCACCACCACCACCACCACCACCACCACCACCAUUGGAGUCCCCUCUGUAGUUGCACAUUACGGCCCUGUUGUGUACCCUGGUGGCCUUCAUAGUUGACCGCUGAGUGCAGCUGUCGGUGACUGCAGGAAUGGACCUCAGAUGGCGGACACAACAGCAUUACCAAGUCAAGAAGUUGUCCAGUAUUUUAUCUCUGCUCUCAAACAAGCAAUGACCAGUGGUGGUGUUGUUCAUGUCUGGCUUGUGUGUGUGUGUGUGUGUGUGUGUGUGUGUGUGUGUGUGUGUGUGUGUGUGUGUGUGUGUGUGUGUGUGUGUGUGUGUGUGUGUGUGUGUGUGUGUGUGUGUGAGUUUGUUCAUCCAUUAUGAUUUGAAGAGAUUGUGUUUGUAUUUUUAUUGUGGGACUCUGUGAUUAUACUUUGAAAUGAUACGGCCUUAAAAUUGACCUUUGACCCUGUGUGGUAGUGGAGUGAGGCUUGUGACAGUUAGGAAUUGGUUGUCAAAAAGUGACCACAUUGGUUUUUCCUCAGUUGCUUUAGCCAUGAAAGUUCUAUUCCUUGUGUUCUUUGUCAUGACGAUGUUUGAUUCCCUUGGUUUCCAAUUGGUUGCCUUUGUGUGAGUUUUGAUCCAGUCAUUUACUUCCCUACUUACUGAAUUCCAGGAAACAAAGGGAUUGCUUGCUCCUUUUGCUUCCUUGUGGACAAAUUCACUGCUAAUAGUUUGUUAUUUGGAAGUUUGAUUGAAGGCUUGUUCCUCCCUCUCCUCCACCCUAUGACUACUUGAUGCUAUCUAGUAAAAUUCUUCACAAUGAUGUUUUCCAUGCCUUCGCUGCCCUAAACCCUUGGAAAGCUUGGAGGGGUCCCUCCUCUUGUUCUUCAAAACUGCAUUUCUGUGCUUGCACCUUGCCAAGUCAAACUCUUUCAACUCUGUGUGUCAACAUGUAAUAAUAUUACUUCUUGCUGGAAGUUUGCCUACAUUCAGCCUGUUCCUGAAAAGGGUGACCAUUCUAAUCCCUCAUACUACUGUCCUGUUGCUUUAAUUUUCUGCCUAUCUGAAGUUUUUGAAUUUAUCCUCAAAAGGAAGAUUCUUAAACAUCUAUCACUUGACAACUUUCUAUCUAAUUGCCAGUAUGUGUUCCAUAAUGGCCAGACAAAAGAAAACAUGUGUUCAGUGGCUUCAGCCACCACCAAUGGUCUCUCUUUUUAAGAUUUCCUGCUUAACUAAUGUUUAAGUAUCUCAUUACAAAGAUAAGAAUAUAGAUAUCAUAAAGAUGGUUAUUUAUAUUGAUUAGCAUAUUAGCAUUAUGAAUGUUCCUGUUCAUACGAUUAUAACUAUCAGCAGAAAAAAUUGUAUAACAUGUGUCAUUCAUUUACUUGAAGCUGCAUUGUCAAGGAAGCUUGAUACACUUUUCAGUGAUGUGUUUAUGUGCUAACAUAUGUGUGCUUGGAGCAUAAAAGAUAGUCUACACUAUAUUUUGACAGAUAAACAGUUGGUAUGAAAAAAUUACUUUUACAUACAGCACUUACUUAAUUUGCAUUUGGGGACCAUCUCUUUCAAAAUAGUCCAUUUGAGCAGCAAUACAGCAGCACAUUCAGCACUGUUGUCACCCCUGAAACUUAUUCUGGAAGUGUUGUUCUCUAAGCAUGUCAAGCAUCUACUGUUUGUGCAGAAUCAUCUCCACAAUGGACAGAAGAAGCAUCAGGCCAAAGUCUGUCAGGAAUUCUGUCAGCCAGCCAUGAAUGACCCAACCUUCAUGUCAAAGGACAUCUCUGGGAACAAAAUUUGGGUUUACAGGUAUAACCCCCUAACCCAAACAAGUCUUUACAAUAGAAGAGUCCAGCAUCUCCAUGCAGGGCAUGGUUCAGGUCUGGAAAACCACUAAGACCAUUUUUAUUCAAUGUCUUUGAGAUUCAUAGGAUAGUUCAUCAUGAAUUCAUCCCCCAAAAAAGAUCAUCAACUGCCAGUUCUACUCAAGUGUUUUGAGGCAUCUGAGGACAUUAAUUUUGGCAGAUAUGGCUUGAAAUGUGGUGCAAGGCUAAAUGGAUGCUCCAUGAUGAUGAUGAUGAUGAUGAUGAUGAUGCACCCUCUCUUACAUAUUAUCUCUUAUAAUGCAUGGGCUUCUCAGAUGCAUGAUUAUCCCUUUGCAGCUGCCCUACUCAUCAGAUUUGGUACCAACCCUUGUGACUUGUGUCAUGCUCCCCACAUGGACAUUCAUUCUAUGGAAACAAUGAGAAAUUGAUCUCAAGAUGAGAUAAGUCUUUAGCCAUGACAAGUUGUAGCCAGCCAGGGAUUGAACCUCUCACUGAGAGAACACAAGGAUGACACCUUAGACAUUGAGACCAUGAUGACUGUCAGGUCCCAAGUUCAGUUUUAGGACAUUUAUACUCCUAAUCUCUGCACUUUUUUUUUCCUGGAAAUAAUAAAGAUGCAGCUGAAGGGAUGCUCUUUUGACACCAUGGGGUAGGUUCAUUAGAUUAGAUUAGAUGUGAUUUACUUUAGAGUUUUAAUGAAAGCAAUGGCAAAAAAAGACUAUGGUUCCAGCCUGUGUGAGACAACCCUCAAGAAUUUAAAUAUUUCCAAACUACUUAUAGCAUUCAGAUUGUUCAUGGAUACAACUGAAGGUAAUACAAACAUAGGAGUUGUAAAAAUAUUUUUUUAAAUAAUGAAUUAAGACUUAUACAGUACACAAACAUUCAUUAAAAGACCACACUGAGCCACUGUUUACACAAACAGCUGAUGAAUGCUCACUGUUGAUGUCACUAUCAAUGGUGGCAGCUGCAGCAGUUACAGCUCAUUCUUCUCACCAAACUUGCAUCACUGUGUAUAGUGCUAGUGAUGUUGGGAUUGGAACUGCACUUGCUACCUCGAUAUCAGUGUUACAGACAUUUUUACAAUUUGUUGCGGACCAUCCAUGCAGUAGGCUUUAAAUUCCGUUGGGGUACGACUCGCAAGCAAGCUGAUCCCAGGCACUAUACGUGAUUUGCAUCAGAAUACUGCACAUUAGUGGCGAGCCGACUGUAGUCACCACAAAAGAAAUCUAUACAGCAAAAAUGCAGGUGAAAAGCACAUAUGGAAAAAAUGUGGAUAUAUUUGAGUUGCAUAUCCAUCAUGUGCUAGAACACAGUCAUCAUACAUCUCACAGCAGCUGAGACGCUUGUGUAGCUAUUCAUACACAUCCCACACCAGUGCUGGUCCAGCUGCCACGGAAGCAGCAUCCAUAACUGACGACUCCAUCAGGCUUCACGCGACCCAUCAUUGACUAAUUUUGGAUGCUUACAGUUUUGUUGCUGUGCUUUACCAUAGGUCACCAGGAGCUGAAAAUGAAAGAAAAAGCACAUUCCUUGGCAUAGCUGCAGCAGGGAGUGUUAGUGAUAUAUAUGGCAGCUGAUCUUGUGUUGACCCAGAAAGCCAUUUACCAGCUUAAAAACUCCACUGUCACCCUCCUGCCUCCAGGCUUAGCAUUAAUGCCCCCCCCCCUGAAAAAAAACUCUUAAAUCCCCCCCAAAAAAGUUUAAGUGGUUAUUUCAGGGGGUUUUAGAAAAUAUAUUUUACUAAUCAAGAUUUAGUUGUAUAUUAUAUUGAUAAUUAAGGUCUAUAUAUAUACAUACACAUUAAAAUUGUAAAAGUAGUCAAGUCUGUCCCAUUAAAUUCCUAACCUGUAUCAGCAUGACCUAAACAAGUGUGUGUUCUUCAUUAAAAGAGUGUCAAAAUC
Molecule: long non-coding RNA, 4107 nt
Organism: Scylla paramamosain (green mud crab)
Lineage: Eukaryota; Metazoa; Arthropoda; Malacostraca; Decapoda; Portunidae
Exons: 5
Source: RefSeq, a predicted model, not a curated record